CCCUGGCAGUCAGAGGCGAUGAAGGGCGUGCUAAUCUGCGAUAAGCGCCGGUAAGGUGAUAUGAACCGUUAUAACCGGCGAUACCCGAAUGGGGAAACCCAGUGUGAUUCGUCACACUAUCAUUAACUGAAUCCAUAGGUUAAUGAGGCGAACCGGGGGAACUGAAACAUCUAAGUACCCCGAGGAAAAGAAAUCAACCGAGAUUCCCCCAGUAGCGGCGAGCGAACGGGGAGGAGCCCAGAGCCUGAAUCAGCAUGUGUGUUAGUGGAAGCGUCUGGAAAGGCGCGCGAUACAGGGUGACAGCCCCGUACACAAAAGCGCAUGUGCUGUGAGCUCGAUGAGUAGGGCGGGACACGUGGUAUCCUGUCUGAAUAUGGGGGGACCAUCCUCCAAGGCUAAAUACUCCUGACUGACCGAUAGUGAACCAGUACCGUGAGGGAAAGGCGAAAAGAACCCCGGCGAGGGGAGUGAAAAAGAACCUGAAACCGUGUACG
This 494-nucleotide ribosomal RNA is filed under the name Salmonella enterica subsp. enterica serovar Hadar. RNAcentral describes it as "partial 23S ribosomal RNA". It matches the Rfam family "Bacterial large subunit ribosomal RNA", at positions 31 to 563 of the family's 2925-position model. The record is from RNAcentral. Lineage: Bacteria; Pseudomonadati; Pseudomonadota; Gammaproteobacteria; Enterobacterales; Enterobacteriaceae.